GACGAACGCUGGCGGUGUGCUUAACACAUGCCAGUCGAACGGAAAGGCCCUGCUUUUGUGCGGUCCUCGAAUGGCGAACGGGUGAGUAACACGUGAGUAACCUGCACUUGACUUUGGGAUAACUUCAUGCAACUGGGGCUAAUACCGGAUAGGAGCUCUUGCUGAAUGGUGGGGGUCGGAUAGUUACGACGGUUGGGGAUGGAAUCGCGGCUUAUCAACUUGUUAGUGGGGUGGCGGAGUACCAAAGCGGUGACGGUUAGCCGGGCUGUGAGCGUGAGCGGCCACACUGGGGCAGAGAGACGGCCCAGACUCCUAUGGGAGGCAGCAGUGGGGAAUAUUGCACGAUGGGCGGGAGCGUGAUGCAGAAACGCCGCGUGCGGGAUAACGGCCUUCGGGUUGUAAACCGCUUUCGCCUGUGACGAAGCCUGAAUGACGGUAAUUGAUAAAGAAGCACCGGCUAACUACGUG
RNAcentral lists this ribosomal RNA (468 nucleotides) under uncultured bacterium. RNAcentral describes it as "partial 16S ribosomal RNA". It matches the Rfam family "Bacterial small subunit ribosomal RNA", at positions 28 to 507 of the family's 1533-position model. The record is from RNAcentral.